GUUUUUAAAGACAUGGUAUUUCUAUUUGUGCACAAAAGAAUUUUUCAUCCUUGCAGCAAAUAGAACAGGACACGGCUAUUGUUUCGAUGAAUCGGCAGGGAAGCUGAGAUGUUGCUAUGAUUACAGAAAUGUUUCAGGAAGAUGUGAACCAUGUCUAGGUUCAUUUGGAGAGGCCUGUGAAAAUAACUGCCCGGAUGGAUAUUAUGGACAUGGAUGUAGAAAUAAGUGUGACUGUUUGCCUGAGUCAUGUCAUGAAAUCCAUGGUUG
Ostrea edulis (European flat oyster) is the source of this 267-nucleotide long non-coding RNA. RefSeq lists it as uncharacterized. The transcript is spliced from 3 exons. The record is from RefSeq and is a predicted model, not a curated record. Lineage: Eukaryota; Metazoa; Mollusca; Bivalvia; Ostreida; Ostreidae.